This 253-nucleotide ribosomal RNA is filed under the name uncultured bacterium. RNAcentral's name for it is "partial 16S ribosomal RNA". It matches the Rfam family "Bacterial small subunit ribosomal RNA", at positions 524 to 776 of the family's 1533-position model. The record is from RNAcentral.
UACGUAGGGUGCAGGCGUUAAUCGGAAUUACUGGGCGUAAAGCGUGCGCAGGCGGUUUGCUAAGACAGGUGUGAAAUCCCCGAGCUUAACUUGGGAACUGCGCUUGUAACUGGCAAGCUAGAGUGCGGCAGAGGGGGGUGGAAUUCCACGUGUAGCAGUGAAAUGCGUAGAGAUGUGGAGGAACACCGAUGGCGAAGGCAGCCCCCUGGGUCGACACUGACGCUCAUGCACGAAAGCGUGGGGAGCAAGCAGG